CCUACGGGAGGCUGCAGUGGGGAAUAUUGGACAAUGGGCGAAAGCCUGAUCCAGCCAUGCCGCGUGUGUGAAGAAGGCCUUCGGGUUGUAAAGCACUUUCAGUGGGGAAGAAAGCCUUGGGGCUAAUACCCUCGAGGAAGGACAUCACCCACAGAAGAAGCACCGGCUAACUCCGUGCCAGCAGCCGCGGUAAUACGGAGGGUGCGAGCGUUAAUCGGAAUUACUGGGCGUAAAGCGCGCGUAGGCGGUCUGAUAAGCCGGUUGUGAAAGCCCCGGGCUCAACCUGGGAACGGCAUCCGGAACUGUCAGGCUAGAGUGCAGGAGGGGAAGGUAGAAUUCCCGGUGUAGCGGUGAAAUGCGUAGAGAUCGGGAGGAAUACCAGUGGCGAAGGCGGCCUUCUGGACUGACACUGACGCUGAGGUGCGAAAGCGUGGGUAGCAAACAGGAUUAGAUACCCUGGUAGUC
RNAcentral lists this ribosomal RNA (465 nucleotides) under Vreelandella stevensii. RNAcentral describes it as "partial 16S ribosomal RNA". It matches the Rfam family "Bacterial small subunit ribosomal RNA", at positions 338 to 795 of the family's 1533-position model. Lineage: Bacteria; Pseudomonadati; Pseudomonadota; Gammaproteobacteria; Oceanospirillales; Halomonadaceae. The record is from RNAcentral.